CGUUCAGGAUGUGGUAACGCCCCAGGGCUGUACAUGGGCACUGGUUUGUAAGCUGGCAGACGUGGAGUGAUGGCAGAGGCGGGCUAGAUUCCACGUGUAGCAGUGAAUGCGUAGAUAUGUGAUGCACACGAUGCCGAAGGCAGCCCCAUGGGUUACACUGACGCUCAUGCACGAAAGCGUGGCGAGCAAACUGGAUUAGAUACCCUGGUAGUUCCACGCCCUAAACUAUGUCUACUGGUUGUCGGGGGAUUAACUCCCUUGGUAACGAAGCUAACGCGUGAAGUUGACCGCCUGGGGAGUACGGCCGCAAGGUUAAAACUCAAAGGAAUUGACGGGGACCCGCACAAGCGGUGGAUUAUGUGGAUUAAUUCGAUGCAACGCGAAAAACCUUACCUACCCUUGAUAUGCUAGGAAGCUCGCAGAGAUGUGAGUGUGCCCGAAAGGGAACCUAGACACAGGUGCUGCAUGGCUGUCGUCAGCUCGUGUCGUGAGAUGUUGGGUUAAGUCCCGCAACGAGCGCAACCCUUAUCAUUAGUUGCUACAUUUAGUUGGGCACUCUAAUGAGACUGCCGGUGACAAACCGGAGGAAGGUGGGGAUGACGUCAAGUCCUCAUGGCCCUUAUGGGUAGGGCCUCACACGUAAUACAAUGGCCGGUACAGAGGGCUGCCAACCCGCGAGGGGGAGCUAAUCUCAGAAAGCCGGUCGUAGUCCGGAUUGUUCUCUGCAACUCGAGAGCAUGAAGUUGGAAUCGCUAGUAAUCGCGGAUCAGCAUGUCGCGGUGAAUACGUUCCCGGGUCUUGUACACACCGCCCGUCACACCAUGGGAGUGGGUUCCACCAGAAGUAGGCAGCCUAACCGCAAGGAGGGCGCUUACCACGGUGAGAUUCAUGACUGGGGCGAAGUCGUAACAAGGAACCA
This 919-nucleotide ribosomal RNA is filed under the name uncultured soil bacterium. RNAcentral describes it as "SSU rRNA". It matches the Rfam family "Bacterial small subunit ribosomal RNA", at positions 581 to 1501 of the family's 1533-position model. The record is from RNAcentral.